This 443-nucleotide ribosomal RNA is filed under the name uncultured bacterium. RNAcentral's name for it is "partial 16S ribosomal RNA". It matches the Rfam family "Bacterial small subunit ribosomal RNA", at positions 338 to 795 of the family's 1533-position model. The record is from RNAcentral.
CCUACGGGAGGCAGCAGUGGGGGAUAUUGGACAAUGGGGGGAACCCUGAUCCAGCGACGCCGCGUGAGUGAAGAAGUAUUUCGGUAUGUAAAGCUCUGUCAGCAGGGAAGAAAGAAAUGACGGUACCUGACCAAGAAGCCCCGGCUAACUACGUGCCAGCAGCCGCGGUAAUCCGUAGGGCGCAAGCGUUAUCCGGAAUUACUGGGUGUAAAGGGUGCGUAGACGGUUAAGUAAGUCUGGAGUGAAGGGCCGGGGCCCAACCCCGGGACUGCUCUGGAAACUAGUGAACUUGAGUGCAGGAGAGGUAAGCGGAAUUCCUGGUGUAGCGGUGAAAUGCGUAGAUAUUGGGAGGAACACCGGUGGCGAAGGCGGCUUACUGGACUGUAACUGACGUUGAGGCUCGAAAGCGUGGGGAGCGAACAGGAUUAGAUACCCGGGUAGUC